This is a non-coding RNA of Danio rerio (zebrafish), 74 nucleotides long. Lineage: Eukaryota; Metazoa; Chordata; Actinopteri; Cypriniformes; Danionidae. The record is from Rfam.
GUCUCUUUGGCAAAAUCGGUUAGCGCGUUCGGCUGUUAACUGAAAGGUUGGUGGUUCAAGCCCACCCAGGUACG